UGUGUGUUGUGGUGUCUGAGUUUGAGCAGCGUAAUUAUUCCAUAAGACAAUGACAGCUCCCGUCUCUCCAUGACACCCACCGCGGCCCCUCCACAGCUCUCCUCCCCGUGGCUCAUCGACGGGCCUUUUAUUGAAGGGGAUUGGCACCAAAUUUCCACGUCGUAUCCCGCAAGAAAAGGACCUUUUUGAUUUGUAUGAGGAUGAUUGAGUACGGCAUUAUGAAAAGCACAAAGACCUCCAGACAGCAGGCAAAGAGGAUCGAUUGGCUGACGGGUGAACGCUAGAUUGUUGUGAACUAGUCAUGCUCAUCAUAUUUGAUGUAGGGUUUUGGUGUUUGAGUGAGUUUUCAAACUCUGCAUAUUCAGUUAUUUUUGCUGUAUUUUAACUUCCCUGAUGCCCUGCAGCUCAGCACGGGUGAUGUAACAUCUUCAGACUUCUUUUCGUUGCCUCCUGUUACCUUGAAAAUGUGGAAAUCAAAGUUCUUUAUGCUUUAAGAGCCAAUGAAUGCUGCUAAUUGGCCUCAACCCAACACAACCCUUCUUUGUAGCAGGGUGCACUUUGAGACUUUCGCCACGGUGCAUUUGCAUAUUUUUGUCCACAAACACAGACACAAAUAUACGGUUUGCUACAGAUUGAGGAGAGCAUAAAAAUGAAAAAGUUGCAAUCAGCCAAUGUCCUGGAUGUAUUCAGAUUAACUCUCUUUGAAGAGUCAUGUCCGUUCUUCACUAAGAAGAAAAAUAAAUCACUAAUGGACAUUAACUGUGACUCAUAAAUCGGCUGAUCAACUUCUAUUCCCACAAAAGAAAAUGUCUGUUAAACAUGCAUGAACCUCUGCGUAUUGGGUUCUGCAGGUAAGAAAGCCAGUUUUCACGUCUUUGGAAAGUUAUUCUUCUGUCCUCAGGGCGAGAGACGAUCUCCUCAGUUCUAACACCGCUGGAUGAGAGAUGAGCCGCGAUCGUCCCCGGCUGGGACGAUCUUCCUGGACGGCGCGACGUUUUGGACCCAUCUGGCCCCGAGCCCGUCCCCUGCCAGACGUCCCGUUAAUGAAAUGGCAGCAGCCCAAUGCUCCGUAUCUGUCAUCAGCAAUCUGCAUCUGCUCAGGGACUCAACGGAAAUGAGGAAGAGGGAUGAACACGGAGGAAGGCAGAGAGACUCUGUGUCCCCCGAGCAGGUGCCAUGUUUGUGUGCGUGUGCGUGUCAGGGUGAAUGCGUGUGUGUGUGUGUGUGUGUGUGUGCGUGUGUGGUGGCUCCGUCCCUGUUUUUAGCACAGCGUGAAAUCUAAGUUAUAGAUUUCUUUUUUUGAGAGGAGAAAGUAGCCACAGCGGGCCGCCUCAUCUUUCAUCUCCACUGGAUCAAAUAGUGGACAAAUCCGCUCAAUUCAACCCGUAGAUUCUACUGUGACUUUCCUCUACC
Long non-coding RNA from Gasterosteus aculeatus aculeatus (three-spined stickleback), 1413 nucleotides. NCBI's taxonomy places the organism in Eukaryota, Metazoa, Chordata, Actinopteri, Perciformes, Gasterosteidae. The record is from Ensembl.